UACAGAGGGGGCAAGCGUUGUUCGGAAUUACUGGGCGUAAAGGGCGCGUAGGCGGCCUUCUAAGUCGAACGUGAAAUCCCCGGGCUCAACCCGGGAACUGCGUCCGAUACUGGAAGGCUUGAAUCCGGGAGAGGGAUGCGGAAUUCCAGGUGUAGCGGUGGAAUGCGUAGAGAUCCGGAAGAACACCGGAGGCGAAGGCGGCUUGCUGGGCGUAGUCUGACGCUGAGGCGCGAAAGCGUGGGGAGCGAACAGG
RNAcentral lists this ribosomal RNA (253 nucleotides) under uncultured bacterium. RNAcentral's name for it is "partial 16S ribosomal RNA". It matches the Rfam family "Bacterial small subunit ribosomal RNA", at positions 524 to 776 of the family's 1533-position model. The record is from RNAcentral.